This 427-nucleotide ribosomal RNA is filed under the name uncultured bacterium. Its description in RNAcentral is "partial 16S ribosomal RNA". It matches the Rfam family "Bacterial small subunit ribosomal RNA", at positions 355 to 792 of the family's 1533-position model. The record is from RNAcentral.
UGGGGAAUAUUGCGCAAUGGGGGGAACCCUGACGCAGCGACGCCGCGUGCGGGAUGACGGCCUUCGGGUUGUAAACCGCUUUUGAUUGGGAGCAAGCGCAAGUGAGUGUACCUUUCGAAUAAGGACCGGCUAACUACGUGCCAGCAGCCGCGGUAAUACGUAGGGUCCAAGCGUUGUCCGGAAUUAUUGGGCGUAAAGAGCUCGUAGGCGGCGCGUCGCGUCUGGUGUGAAAGUCCAUCGCUUAACGGUGGAUCUGCGCUGGAUACGGGCGUGCUGGAGUGCGGUAGGGGAGACUGGAAUUCCCGGUGUAACGGUGGAAUGUGUAGAUAUCGGGAAGAACACCAAUGGCGAAGGCAGGUCUCUGGGCCGUUACUGACGCUGAGGAGCGAAAGCGUGGGGAGCGAACAGGAUUAGAUACCCCGUGGUA